This 301-nucleotide ribosomal RNA is filed under the name uncultured bacterium. RNAcentral describes it as "partial 16S ribosomal RNA". It matches the Rfam family "Bacterial small subunit ribosomal RNA", at positions 509 to 807 of the family's 1533-position model. The record is from RNAcentral.
CAGUAGCCGCGGUAAUACGUAGGUGGCAAGCGUUGUCCGGAAUUAUUGGGCGUAAAGGGCUCGCAGGCGGUUUCUUAAGUCUGAUGUGAAGGCCCCCGGCUCGACCGGGGAGGGUCAUUGGAAACUGGGAAACUUGAGUGCAGAAGAGGAGAGUGGAAUUCCACGUGUAGCGGUGAAAUGCGUAGAGAUGUGGAGGAACACCAGUGGCGAAGGCGACUCUCUGGUCUGUAACUGACGCUGAGGAGCGAAAGCGUGGGGAGCGAACAGGAUUAGAUACCCCCGUAGUCCCUGUCUCUUAUAC